This 484-nucleotide ribosomal RNA is filed under the name uncultured bacterium. RNAcentral's name for it is "partial 16S ribosomal RNA". It matches the Rfam family "Bacterial small subunit ribosomal RNA", at positions 29 to 507 of the family's 1533-position model. The record is from RNAcentral.
CUUUAACGCUGGCGGCAUGCUUUACACAUGCAAGUCGAACGGCAGCGCGGGCUUCGGCCUGGCGGCGAGUGGCGAACGGGUGAGUAAUACAUCGGAACGUGCCCAGUAGUGGGGGAUAGCUCGGCGAAAGCCGGAUUAAUACCGCAUACGACCUGAGGGUGAAAGCGGGGGAUCUUCGGACCUCGCGCUAUUGGAGCGGCCGAUGGCAGAUUAGCUAGUUGGUGGGGUAAAGGCCUACCAAGGCGACGAUCUGUAGCUGGUCUGAGAGGACGACCAGCCACACUGGGACUGAGACACGGCCCAGACUCCUACGGGAGGCAGCAGUGGGGAAUUUUGGACAAUGGGCGAAAGCCUGAUCCAGCAAUGCCGCGUGUGUGAUGAAGGCCUUCGGGUUGUAAAGCACUUUUGGCGGGAACGAAAAGGACUGUGCCAAUACCACGGUUCGAUGACGGUACCCGCAGAAUAAGCACCGGCUAACUACGUG